UGGGGAAUAUUGGACAAUGGGCGCAAGCCUGAUCCAGCCAUACCGCGUGGGUGAAGAAGGCCUUCGGGUUGUAAAGCCCUUUUGUUGGGAAAGAAAUCCAGCCGGCUAAUACCUGGUUGGGAUGACGGUACCCAAAGAAUAAGCACCGGCUAACUUCGUGCCAGCAGCCGCGGUAAUACGAAGGGUGCAAGCGUUACUCGGAAUUACUGGGCGUAAAGCGUGCGUAGGUGGUCGUUUAAGUCCGUUGUGAAAGCCCUGGGCUCAACCUGGGAACUGCAGUGGAUACUGGGCGACUAGAGUGUGGUAGAGGGUAGCGGAAUUCCUGGUGUAGCAGUGAAAUGCGUAGAGAUCAGGAGGAACAUCCAUGGCGAAGGCAGCUACCUGGACCAACACUGACACUGAGGCACGAAAGCGUGGGGAGCAAACAGGAUUAGAUACCCUGGUAGUCCACGCCCUAAACGAUGCGAACUGGAUGUUGGGUGCAAUUUGGCACGCAGUAUCGAAGCUAACGCGUUAAGUUCGCCGCCUGGGAGUACGGUCGCAAGACUG
Molecule: ribosomal RNA, 549 nt
Filed under: uncultured bacterium
Lineage: Bacteria
Description: bacterial SSU rRNA
Rfam family: Bacterial small subunit ribosomal RNA
Source: RNAcentral